AGUCGAACGGAGCUUAGAGAGCUUGCUUUUUAAGCUUAGUGGCGAACGGGUGAGUAACGCGUGAGUAACCUGCCCUAGAGUGGGGGACAACAGUUGGAAACGACUGCUAAUACCGCAUAAGCCCACGGUACCGCAUGGUACUGAGGGAAAAGGAUUUAUUCGCUUUAGGAUGGACUCGCGUCCAAUUAGCUAGUUGGUGAGGUAACGGCCCACCAAGGCGACGAUUGGUAGCCGGACUGAGAGGUUGAACGGCCACAUUGGGACUGAGACACGGCCCAGACUCCUACGGGAGGCAGCAGUGGGGGAUAUUGCACAAUGGGGGAAACCCUGAUGCAGCGACGCCGCGUGGAGGAAGAAGGUUUUCGGAUUGUAAACUCCUGUCGUUAGGGACGAUAAUGACGGUACCUAACAAGAAAGCACAGGCUAACUACGUGCCAGCAGCCGCGGUAAAACGUAGGGUGCAAGCGUUGUCCGGAAUUACUGGGUGUAAAGGGAGCGCAGGCGGGAAGACAAGUUGGAAGUGAAAACCAUGGGCUCAACCCAUGAAUUGCUUUCAAAACUGUUUUUCUUGAGUAGUGCAGAGGUAGAUGGAAUUCCCGGUGUAGCGGUGGAAUGCGUAGAUAUCAGGAGGAACACCAGUGGCGAAGGCGGUCUACUGGGCACCAACUGACGCUGAGGCUCGAAAGCAUGGGUAGCAAACAGGAUUAGAUACCCUGGUAGUCCAUGCCGUAAACGAUGAUUACUAGGUGUUGGGGGAUUGACCCCCUCAGUGCCGCAGUUAACACAAUAAGUAAUCCACCUGGGGAGUACGACCGCAAGGUUGAAACUC
Molecule: ribosomal RNA, 829 nt
Filed under: uncultured bacterium
Lineage: Bacteria
Description: bacterial SSU rRNA
Rfam family: Bacterial small subunit ribosomal RNA
Source: RNAcentral